CCCUUAGAUGUCCGGGGCCGCACGCGCGCUACACUGAAGGAAUCAGCGUGGCUUUCUCCCUGACCCGAAAGGGUUGGGAAACCCGUUGAAUCUCCUUCGUGAUAGGGAUUGGGGCUUGAAAUUGUUCCCCAUGAACGAGGAAUUCCCAGUAAGCGCGAGUCAUAAGCUCGCGUUGAUUACGUCCCUGCCCUUUGUACACACCGCCCGUCGCUCCUACCGAUUGGGUGUGCUGGUGAAAUGUUCGGAUCGGCCGUUUGUCGCGGUUUCCGCGUCAUGUGGCUGAGAAGUUCAUUAAACCCUCCCACCUAGAGGAAGGAGAAGUCGUAACA
This 329-nucleotide ribosomal RNA is filed under the name uncultured eukaryote. Its description in RNAcentral is "partial 18S ribosomal RNA". It matches the Rfam family "Eukaryotic small subunit ribosomal RNA", at positions 1470 to 1796 of the family's 1831-position model. The record is from RNAcentral.